Nannospalax galili (Upper Galilee mountains blind mole rat) is the source of this 102-nucleotide small nuclear RNA. The record is from Ensembl. NCBI's taxonomy places the organism in Eukaryota, Metazoa, Chordata, Mammalia, Rodentia, Spalacidae.
CUAUGAAAUAGUAGCAGUGCUUGCAUUGGAAUUAUACGGACAAGAUUAGCAUGACCUCCAUGUAAGGAUGACUUGAAAAUUCAUGAAGCAUUCCAUAUUUUU